ACAAAAAUAUAUUGCAGUAUAUUGGAAAAUAUCAUGUAAUAUAUUAGGCAACAUAUUCCCAUAUAUGGGAUUUAAUAUUUAUAUUUUCCAAUAUAUUGAAAUAUAUGCAUGAAACAUACAUGUAUAUAUGAGACAAAAUAUAUUGCAUUCAAGAACAAAAAGGGCACUAUAUUUUUUACAUGUAAUAGUUUGUCUUUAUAUGCUUUAAUAUAUUGCUAUAUAUGCAUAGACCAUACAUGUAUAUAUGAGACAAAAUAUAUUGCAAUCAAGAACAAAAAGGGCACUAUAUUUUUUACAUGUUAUAGUUUGUCUUUAUAUGCUUUGAUAUAUUGCAAUAUAUGCAUAAACCAUACAUGUAUAUAUGAGACAAAAUAUAUUGCAAUCAAGAACAGAAAGGGCAAUGUAUUUUUUACAUGUAAUAGUUUGUCUUUAUAUGCUUUGAUAUAUUGCAAUAUAUGCAUGAAACAUACAUUUAUAUAUGAUACAAAAUAUAUUGCAAUCAAGAACAAAAAGGGCACUAUAUUUUUUAUAUAUAUAUAUAAAAAAUGCUCGAGUAGGAAGCUGAGAUUCAGGCGCGAAGAGAGGACAGGAUGCGUAACAGACACCAGCAACAAGGAGGCUGAUAGAUAGGUCCUGACCUAUGAUCCUGACCCACACUCCUAAUCAGUAGGUGGCGGUAAUGCCACUAAAAGUUGUUUGCCAACUGCCAGUAAAACUCAAGAAGAAGAAGAAGAAGGCUGAUGUCAGCAGGCUCCAAGGAAACUUCAAGUUUUAAAAGAUGCUGUUUUAAAACACUUUCCUAUAAGGCCAAGGAAGCUGAUGUCAGAAAAUCUAUCAACAGUAGAAUCUGCGAGCUAAUGGCAUUAAGACACCAGGUGAAGAGCAAAAGCAUGGGUAUGUAAGUGGUUUACAUCAGUGAAGAACCAAGGUGGACUCCUAACCAGGAUAAUGGACUGUUCUUUUGGCAAAUUUUUUUUUUUUUUGCUUUUUCAUGGUUCCCAAAACUUCUUGAAAGUUUGUUUAUUAUUUAUUUGUUCAUUAUUGUCUGUGCAUUUUGUUUAUUGAUAUUGUCUUUAUUGAUAUUGUCAUAUUGUAUAAUGGCACUGCUGAAAUUUUGAAAUGGACAUUGGUAAUUUAAGUUGCUUUAAUUUAUAUUUUGUAUAUUUUUUGUUUAAUGGCACUCUUUUAAAAUGUAAUUUAUGUAAAUGCAAUGCAACACAUUUAUGUAAUGUAAUGUAAAGCCAAUCACAUUUCCUUUGACUGACCAUAUGCAAAACCUCUUGUGGUUUUAAUAGGCCUAUAGAGCUCUGUACCUCAAAUUGGGUUUAGUAUCUGUGCCUGAUUAAAAGAAAAUAAAGGUGGCUUUUGAUAGAUUA
Misgurnus anguillicaudatus (oriental weatherfish) is the source of this 1376-nucleotide non-coding RNA. NCBI's taxonomy places the organism in Eukaryota, Metazoa, Chordata, Actinopteri, Cypriniformes, Cobitidae. The record is from RefSeq and is a predicted model, not a curated record.